This 455-nucleotide long non-coding RNA is filed under the name Androctonus crassicauda. Lineage: Eukaryota; Metazoa; Arthropoda; Arachnida; Scorpiones; Buthidae. The record is from RNAcentral.
UCACCCUUCUUUGUGGAUUUUUUUGUUUAUACAGAAAUUCCAUAAUAGCUAGGCAGUAAUCACUAUUAUGGAAAAACUGGACCCUUUCGCGACCGGAUCAAAACCGGCUUAUUAAUUCCGCUGCCUCCCAUACAAGCAACACAUUCGACAUUUUGAAAGUUGAGGAAUGGGGAUCUCUAGUGCAAGAGCCCGAAUUCCCUCGGAGGAAAUAGAUUUCUCUUCACUUUCAUAUGAUGGCCACAUACUUCAAGUAUCGACAUGGCUGGGGAAUAUUGCAGACCUACCCAACACUUCCAUCGCAAAUCUUUGGAAUUACGACAGCAAAUUACAGGUAGACCCGAAAUUGGUCUCACAAGUGAGAGAAUUUUUUUCUUAUAAAGAAGAAUCCAUACCAUAUCUAACCGAUUUUCAGCUGGAACCAUCACAGUCGAAUCCCGUUGCUUGCCAUAUUGUUA